AUUGAACGCUGGCGGCAAGCCUUACACAUGCAAGUCGAACGGCAGCGGACCUUCGGGUGCCGGCGAGUGGCGAACGGGUGAGUAAUAUAUCGGAACGUACCUUUCAGCGGGGGAUAACGUAGCGAAAGUUACGCUAAUACCGCAUAUUUCUGUGAGCAGGAAAGCAGGGGAUCGCAAGACCUUGCGCUGAUUGAGCGGCCGAUAUCAGAUUAGCUAGUUGGUGAGGUAAAGGCUCACCAAGGCGACGAUCUGUAGCGGGUCUGAGAGGAUGAUCCGCCACACUGGAACUGAGACACGGUCCAGACUCCUACGGGAGGCAGCAGUGGGGGAAUUUUGGACAAUGGGCGCAAGCCUGAUCCAGCCAUGCCGCGUGAGUG
Molecule: ribosomal RNA, 377 nt
Filed under: uncultured bacterium
Lineage: Bacteria
Description: bacterial SSU rRNA
Rfam family: Bacterial small subunit ribosomal RNA
Source: RNAcentral